This 971-nucleotide long non-coding RNA is filed under the name Dermacentor andersoni. RNAcentral describes it as "uncharacterized LOC126520579". Lineage: Eukaryota; Metazoa; Arthropoda; Arachnida; Ixodida; Ixodidae. The record is from RNAcentral.
CACAAGAAGCGGCGUGCGGUAAGGGCCUUUGUGACGAGGGUCUUCAGUGGCCUCAAUUGGCUGUUCUCAUCGACGUCAACGAAUGAAGAAUUGAUGCAGAUUUGACUGCUCAUGUCUGAACCUGGGAUAUCCGAGCCCGACUACCUGCCUCUUGGAGCAGAAGUUAGGCCUAAUCUGUGGCUGCCGGGCACAUCGUCUUUUGGACCAAGCGAAUGCAUCGCCACAAGAAGCGGCGUGCGGUAAGGGCCUUUGUGACGAGGGUCUUCAGUGGCCUCAAUUGGCUGUUCUCAUCGACGUCAACGAAUGAAGAAUUGAUGCAGAUUUGACUGCUCAUGUCUGAACCUGGGAUAUCCGAGCCCGACUACCUGCCUCUUGGAGCAGAAGUUAGGCCUAAUCUGUGGCUGCCGGGCACAUCGUCUUUUGGACCAAGCGAAUGCAUCGCCACAAGAAGCGGCGUGCGGUAAGGGCCUUUGUGACGAGGGUCUUCAGUGGCCUCAAUUGGCUGUUCUCAUCGACGUCAACGAAUGAAGAAUUGAUGCAGAUUUGACUGCUCAUGUCUGAACCUGGGAUAUCCGAGCCCGACUACCUGCCUCUUGGAGCAGAAGUUAGGCCUAAUCUGUGGCUGCCGGGCACAUCGUCUUUUGGACCAAGCGAAUGCAUCGCCACAAGAAGCGGCGUGCGGUAAGGGCCUUUGUGACGAGGGUCUUCAGUGGCCUCAAUUGGCUGUUCUCAUCGACGUCAACGAAUGAAGGUGAGCUGCAAGACUAUAAUAAUUCUUCUAAUUACCAGGCAUCCUUUAUGAGAAUUAGAUGGCACGCUUGAAAAAACGGUAUAGGGUAUACACAGUGAAUGGAGAGUGAAAGAUUGGACACUAUCAAGUGUCUUCUUGUUAGGGGAAGUCUGAAGCUACCAGGGACGUAGACGAAAUGCAACAUGCAGUUGGUGCCACUCAAGUGCUUAGUCUGUGAAGG